CUAGUAAUCGCGCAUCAGCCACGGCGCGGUGAAUACGUUCCCGGGCCUUGUACACACCGCCCGUCAAGCCAUGAAAGCCGGGGGUACCUGAAGUGCGUAACCGCGAGGAGCGCCCUAGGGUAAAACUGGUGAUUGGGGCUAAGUCGUAACAAGGUAUC
Molecule: ribosomal RNA, 158 nt
Filed under: uncultured bacterium
Lineage: Bacteria
Description: partial 16S ribosomal RNA
Rfam family: Bacterial small subunit ribosomal RNA
Source: RNAcentral